AGCGAACGCUGGCGGCAGGCCUAACACAUGCAAGUCGAACGAACUCUUCGGAGUUAGUGGCGGACGGGUGAGUAACACGUGGGAACGUGCCUUUUGGUUCGGAAUAAUUCAGGGAAACUUGUGCUAAUACCGAAUGUGCCCUUCGGGGGAAAGAUUUAUCGCCAUUAGAGCGGCCCGCGUCUGAUUAGCUAGUUGGUGAGGUAACGGCUCACCAAGGCGACGAUCAGUAGCUGGUCUGAGAGGAUGACCAGCCACACUGGGACUGAGACACGGCCCAGGCUCCUACGGGAGGCAGCAGUGGGGAAUCUUGCGCAAUGGGCGAAAGCCUGACGCAGCCAUGCCGCGUGAAUGAUGAAGGUCUUAGGAUUGUAAAAUUCUUUCACCGGGGACGAUAAUGACGGUACCCGGAGAAGAAGCCCCGGCUAACUUCGUG
Molecule: ribosomal RNA, 433 nt
Filed under: uncultured bacterium
Lineage: Bacteria
Description: partial 16S ribosomal RNA
Rfam family: Bacterial small subunit ribosomal RNA
Source: RNAcentral